GAGAUAAAAGGCCAGAUCUAGUCCUGCUCCCACUUAUCAGGAACCACCAGACAGACUUCUCAACAUGGGGUUCCCUGCUCAGCUCCUGGGGCUGCUGAUGCUCUGGAUCCCUGGAUCCAGUGGGGAUAUCGUGUUGACGCAGACCCCGCUCUCCCUGCCCGUCAGCCCUGGAGAGCCGGCCUCCAUCUCCUGCAGGUCCAGUGAGAGCCUCCUGCACAGUGAUGGAAACACCUAUUUACAAUGGUUUCUUCAGAAACCAGGCCAGGCUCCUUGGCUCCUGAUCUAUAAGGUUUCCAACCGAGACUCUGGGGUCCCAGACAGGUUCAGUGGCAGUGGGUCAGGGACAGAUUUCACCCUCAAGAUCAGCAGGGUGCAGGCUGACGAUGCUGGAGUUUAUUACUGUCACCAAGGUACAAAAGUUCCUCCCACAGUGAUACAGCCCUGA
Molecule: non-coding RNA, 445 nt
Organism: Manis pentadactyla (Chinese pangolin)
Lineage: Eukaryota; Metazoa; Chordata; Mammalia; Pholidota; Manidae
Source: the annotation of a RefSeq genome assembly